UACGUAGGGCGCAAGCGUUGUCCGGAAUUAUUGGGCGUAAAGAGCUCGUAGGCGGCCUGUUGCGUCCGCUGUGAAAUCCCGGGGCUCAACCCCGGGCCUGCAGUGGAUACGGGCUGGCUAGAGGCAGGCAGGGGAGAACGGAAUUCCUGGUGUAGCGGUGAAAUGCGCAGAUAUCGGGAGGAACACCGGUGGCGAAGGCGGUUCUCUGGGCCUGUACUGACGCUGAGGAGCGAAAGCGUGGGGAGCGAACAGG
This 253-nucleotide ribosomal RNA is filed under the name uncultured bacterium. RNAcentral describes it as "partial 16S ribosomal RNA". It matches the Rfam family "Bacterial small subunit ribosomal RNA", at positions 524 to 776 of the family's 1533-position model. The record is from RNAcentral.